Molecule: ribosomal RNA, 468 nt
Filed under: uncultured bacterium
Lineage: Bacteria
Description: partial 16S ribosomal RNA
Rfam family: Bacterial small subunit ribosomal RNA
Source: RNAcentral
GACGAACGCUGGCGGCGUGCUUAACACAUGCAAGUCGAACGGAAAGGCCCUGCUUUUGUGGGGUGCUCGAGUGGCGAACUGGUGAGUAACACGUGAGUAACCUGCCCUUGACUUUGGGAUAACUUCAGGAAACUGGGGCUAAUACCGGAUAGGAGCUCCUGCUGCAUGGUGGGGGUUGGAAAGUUUCGGCGGUUGGGGAUGGACUCGCGGCUUAUCAGCUUGUUGGUGGGGUAGUGGCUUACCAAGGCUUUGACGGGUAGCCGGCCUGAGAGGGUGACCGGCCAAAUUGGGACUGAGAUACGGCCCAGACUCCUACGGGAGGCAGCAGUGGGGAAUAUUGCACAAUGGGCGGAAGCCUGAUGCAGCAACGCCGCGUGCGGGAUGACGGCCUUCGGGUUGUAAACCGCUUUCGCCUGUGACGAAGCGUGAGUGACGGUAAUGGGUAAAGAAGCACCGGCUAACUACGUG